ACCAACUCAGUCUUCUCCAAGCCUCUUGGUGGACUCAGAGGAGGACAGGGAGGCAGCCACUCUGGCCGGCCAGGGCCCUCCUCCCAGGUCCCUGGAACACAGGCGCACCAACCACAGCUGCGUCCUGGCCUGGGCAUCACGUGACGUCCCAGAGUGAUUCACGCUGCUAUUUCAGUGCUGCUGCAGUCAAGGGUAGGGAGAGGCAUGGCGAGGCUGUAUCUGGAGUCAGCUUGGAGGCCGUAGUUCCUGCAGCAGUGGCACUGAAGAGUCUCUUUCUGUCACCCGGUCUGGAGUGAAGUGGCGCAGUCUCAGCUCUCUGCAACCUCUGCCUCCCAGGUUCAAGCAAUUCUUCUGCCUCAGCCUCCCAAGUAGCUGGGAUUACAGUUCUGGAGGCUGCAAGCCCAGGUUCAAGGCAUCAGCAGGUGUGGUUUCCUCCGAGGCCUCUCCCCGUGGCUUGCAGAUGGCUGCCUUCUUCCUGCAUCCUCACGUGGUCCCUCCUCUGCACUCCAGCAUCCUUAAUGUCUCUUUGUGUGUCCAACUUUCCGCCCCCCCCCACCCCUUUUUUUUCUGAUGGAGUCCACCCAGACUGGAGUACAGUGGCGUGAUCUCAGCUCACUG
RNAcentral lists this long non-coding RNA (618 nucleotides) under Homo sapiens (human). RNAcentral's name for it is "HSALNT0363169". The record is from RNAcentral. Lineage: Eukaryota; Metazoa; Chordata; Mammalia; Primates; Hominidae.